CCCCUCUCAGGGUGGCACCUGGAGAGUUUCCUGUACUCUACCGGUUUUGGCUAUGGGAGGGACAGUCAAGCAGAGGUCUACCCAUUCCAUUUCUAGCUUGGGCAGUGGUUAGCAAGUAAAUGGAAGGCAAUCUGCUACAAGU
Tachyglossus aculeatus (Australian echidna) is the source of this 142-nucleotide small nucleolar RNA. The record is from RefSeq and is a predicted model, not a curated record. NCBI's taxonomy places the organism in Eukaryota, Metazoa, Chordata, Mammalia, Monotremata, Tachyglossidae.